UACCAAUCCAACGAAUGAGGGUUUUGUAAACCCAAGUGGAACCAUGGGUUUCGAAGCCUCUGCCUCCGCCUUUCGUUGCUUAGAGCACCUCUUCUUUUCAUCGUCUUUCUUUUCUUCUUCUAUUCAUCUUUGUCUCUGAUGCUCCCACAGAUUUCAAGCAAUCUGACACUUCAAUCUCUCUUGCUCUCUCUCAUGGAAAUAGGAAUAAGAAAAAAAGGAAGGAAAGGGUGGGUCUGAAGAGAAGGGAAGGGUGGGUUGAUCGACGCCUUCGCCUGAGACUCCAGCAACACCGAUGAACGACAAGAGCUGAAUUAAAGAUGGCGGUGCUGAGGUAACUUGAUUUUCGGUUCUGUUGAGAGAUCAUCAGCUGCAACUAAUUCCCUGGUCUUUGUUUCCCUCCUUCUUUGAUAUUCUAUAUUGGUUUGGUUGGCAGCUGGAUCUGAAAUUGGGUAGACAUGGAUCGAAAGAGAAAGAGGAAAAUUGUGACAACUCUAGUUGCAAUCGAGUUAGAGAAACAACGUUUGUGUGCAUCCAUGAUGUUAGUAACUGUCAUAUAUGCUUUGACAGCAUAGUACUAUGAAAAGUACUAUCAUAAGAACCGAACCUUUGUUGAUCAUUUGAAUGUACUUAAAAGAAUUUUCGUGUUAUUGCUAAUUUUGUGAAUUUUUGGACUAUUUUUAUGGUAUCUUCAUGUGAUUUUUUAUUUUGUAA
Prunus avium (sweet cherry) is the source of this 711-nucleotide long non-coding RNA. RefSeq lists it as uncharacterized. Lineage: Eukaryota; Viridiplantae; Streptophyta; Magnoliopsida; Rosales; Rosaceae. The record is from RefSeq and is a predicted model, not a curated record.